GGGGGGAGGGAGAUCGCAGGCAGGAAUCGCACGCGCAAGCGCCAUUUCGCAAACAUGGCCAGCCAUCUUGCGAUGCGUAGGGUUCGAACGUGGCGUGGUAGGGGUUGGAAUAUAACCGUUCUUAGUAUCGAACUGCGCUUCAGUAUCUACGGAGACAGAGACAGGCAUACGACGUCCUUUUAACACCUCCGCAAAAUCGCUACGCGUUUCUUAAUUUUUCCUCCUUUUAUAACCUAUCGGAAUAUUUUGAGAAAUUUCCUUUCUCCUUAUCUUUUUUUUUUUUUUUUUUUUUACUUUUAUUUUUUAGUUUUAAAUUUUCGUUGAUCUUUUUUAUUUUCCUUCUUUCUCUUUUUCUUUUUCUUCCGUUCAAAAGUUCCGUUCGAGUUUAACGAAGUUUGUACGGCCACGCGUGUAAAUUGAUCGCGCCAGUUGCGAGUCGGUGUGAAAAUGAAACGAUGUACAUCGCGAUCGACGUCUCGAAGGAAAUGGAAUAUAUCUUUCUUCGAAGUUUUUUACGAUCUCUUUGUUCCUCAUUUCUUUUUUCUCUCCACCUCUUGGUCAGCCUAUUUCUCUCGAAUUCUCUUGUUCUCGAUGAUCUUUCGAUCGGGCUACGAAUCCUCGCGUGAUUGGAAGUCGUUGGUACACUUUGUGCGAAAUUGGAGGGCUGGUUUGUCGAAAGUCGAAUGGAACAGGAAUGGUCCAACGUCGUUUCGAAGCUUUUGGAUCGUUUGCGUGCUCUUCGAUCAAGCCUCUUUGUCUUUCCAGCUGUUUUCUCGAAAAAAUUUCCCUAAUUCUUCGGAACUUUAGAAAUUGUUACUUGUUAUUUAACGAAAUGAAAAUUGUUGAUCGAUAUUUAGUGAUUUACAGUAAGAAAUUUUCUCUUGUUCGAACGGAAAGUUUUUCUACAACUUCUGGAUAAAUUUAUUAUGAAGUUUUAAGAUUGUUUCUUAGACUUGAAAUUAAUUUAAAAAUUUUCUUAGUAGAAUUGACUCGCUCGUUGUAAGUUUCCAAGAUUAAUUCGAACAAAGUUGAUUAAAAAGAAACUGAACUGAAAUCUCGAUUUCUUUCGUUCAAUUUAAAAUUUCGAGAAAUUUUCACGUGAGAGUUGAAAUAGAAUUCAUCCAUAUCAGUUUUUUAAUUAAAAAAGGACUUGAAUAUCGAUUUGAAAAUUCUUUAUUGCUAAAUUUUUCAAAAGAAUUUUGUGAUCAAAAGAGAUCUAAAGUAAGUUUUCUAAAUAAAAAAUUUGCUCAGUUAAAUAGAAUUUGAAUUGAUUUUGAAAAAUUGUAAAAUGAUUCUCGCAAUUCUCUCGAAGAACUCGAAGCAAUCGAUCUCUUUUUCCAAAAACAUCGUUUCUAAUUACAAAAAUUUCUGGACGCCGGUGUGACUGGUUAUUUGAUAAAAGCGUGUAUAAAGCGUGCGCUAAAAACCGGGUCAUCCACUUCUCGCGAAAAAUCGAUACGAAAUGUGGGAACACGGUUCUCGGUCUGACCAUUGGUUGACUCGUUUCACUUGUGCUUAGUGGACAGGGACAUGUCUCGUCUUCGAUCGUUGUGAUUCACGUCGUUAAUCAUCGGUUGCUCUACUUUAUCAUUAGAAAAUUUCAACCAGAGAUCUAAUUAUACAGUUCAUCGAAGAGGAAAAGGAAAUUUGAAGUUGGAAAGAAACUUUUGAAGGGCGAUCUCAAUUACUUAAUUCUUCUUAAUGAAAAGUAGAGAAUACUUUUAAAAGUAUUUCUAGAAAUUGUGAAAAGAAAAUUUUACUUUUUCCUUUUCUUUUUAAUAUUUUCAUUUUCUUUAUAACAAUUUUACAUAAUUAAAUUAAUUAAAUUAAAAGUAUCUAAAAUUGUUUUAUUCGAUUCUAUUUGUUAAAAUUCUAAAGAUCAAAUGUCAAUGUUAAUAAUAUUCAAUUUUUUUUUAUAUAUUAUUGCUUUCACUAAAGAUAGAAUUUCUUCGAAAAAUCUAUCCAUUACGAAUUUAACUAAGUGCAUAUAUAUAUAUAUACGAUAAGAUAAUAAAGCAAAAUGCAGAAUCCAGGUGUAUCUGUUUGAUCGAGAAAUUUCAAUGUGACACAAUUCGUGGUUUAGGCGAUGUUCUCUACCUGUUGCACGCUGCUUUCAUAGGAAAUUGCCUUACCGACAUAUUGAACAUUGUCAUUCCUGUCUAUGGACAAGCAACCUUGUGCAGAAAUCCUACCACUGUAGGAUUACAACGCCACCUUUUUCCCCCUUCCCCUCCUCCUUCAUCGUUAUCGGCCUCGUAUACAUGAUAAAGCAUAACUCGUUUUAACUCUCAUUUUUAUACGUAUUUGCACCCGUCACGGUGCAAUUUAUCAUCAUACCCUUCGUUUAAAGAUUAUUAGUAUGCUCGAUGAUGAUAUUGUUCCAAGGGCCAAUCAUUUAGUUGUAAACGUGAUAUGGAAAAUAUUUGAGAUCCUGGAAAGUGAUCUUUAAGUCUCUCGAUUAUUUAGAAGUUUAAAAAUUGUUACUCUACGUAAACAAAAAUGUAUAAAGAGGAUAUUUUUUUAUUCUAUCUAAUGUGAAAUUAUUCUACGUUUGAGGAGUUGAAUUAUUAUAUAAAUAUGGAGAUCAUGAAAAGGGGUCGCUGUUGGUUCUUCUCGAUUUCUAUUUUUCCAAGAGAUUUUUUUUUUCUUUUGGAAAGGAAAAUUAGAUCGCGAAGAAAUUCCGAGGAAUAUUCGUAGAAUUAAUUUUCUUUUAGUUUGUGUGCCCUAAAAAAAGAAAAAAAAAGAAGGAAUUAUUUUGAUCAAAAGAGAGAAGUUAUGGAAAUAUGCUGCAACGAAAUCAACAAAUUUUCAUCCCUCUAAAUCUACCUCUUGAUUACUUUCGUUGAAGCAAAAAAAAAUCCUCUCUCGAUUUGCCCAAUAUCUUAAUUAAGAGAGAACUAUUCAUCCAUUAAAAAUCUCAGGACGUAAUAUCAGAAUUGAUAUAAUUCCCGAUUUCCUUUGAUUUUAUCCUUUGAUUAUUUUCAUCGAAAAUUGAAUUGGUCCUAAUGAUAUACGAAAUGUUGUAAUCGAGAGAGAAAAACCUAAAAUUCUGAGGAUCAAAUUUUCCAAUUUUCUUAAUUUUCUCGAUUAUAUUUCAACCAGAAAGUUGAAGAAACGAAACUCGGCUAUUCUAAAUCGAAAUACGUAUUUUUCUCUCCUCCCAUUUCUUUUCAUGAUUCUUUCUUUACCGAAAAUCAGAUCAAAAUUAAUACUAAUAUACGACGAUCUUUGAUGUGAAAAAAAAAUUUUCGCUGUUCAAAAGACAUUCACACGUCUUGUUGUUUCACACGUUUCGUUCUAAUAUGAACGCGCAUCGCGUCAGGGAAAUUAAUUCUGCUUCGUAGAAGGAUACUAAGUGUCUACCUGUUGCACCACGCUGUCAGACGAAGUGGUCUCGAUCGUUUUUCGAGAAUCGCGAAAGUGAAGGGAGAAAUAGGCAGAAAGAUAGAGAAAGAAAAGGAAAGAAGGAGAGAGAGAAAGAGAAAGAGAGAGAGAAAAAGAGAGAGAGAGAGCACUUGGCGAAUGAAAAAUUUUACGCGUCUACGCGUAGGAAGAAACCUACUGGUACGUCGCUGCCUUCGCAACUUGUUGCUGGUCGCUCAGAGAUCUCUCCACUUCUCGAUUUCCGGUGACGCCUCUUGCACACAGGUGCUGUGGGAAGAGAAUUUUCAUCGUAUCCGUAACACUCAUUCUUAGAUGAUCGAUCGUUUAAUAUUGUGAUAUUUUGUGAACGACAGAAACUUACCUGUGGACACAAGUUACGCAAUUAUGGAUCUUUAUAUUUUUCAAGACUUACAACCACAUUCUCUGAAGUUUCACCAGCAACGGUAAGUGCUAAAACCAAUUUCCCA
This is a long non-coding RNA of Apis cerana (Asiatic honeybee), 3851 nucleotides long. RefSeq lists it as uncharacterized. The record is from RefSeq and is a predicted model, not a curated record. NCBI's taxonomy places the organism in Eukaryota, Metazoa, Arthropoda, Insecta, Hymenoptera, Apidae.